RNAcentral lists this ribosomal RNA (492 nucleotides) under uncultured bacterium. Its description in RNAcentral is "partial 16S ribosomal RNA". It matches the Rfam family "Bacterial small subunit ribosomal RNA", at positions 29 to 507 of the family's 1533-position model. The record is from RNAcentral.
AGUGAACGCUGGCGGUAGGCCUAACACAUGCAAGUCGAGCGGCAGCACAGUAAGAGCUUGCUCUUACGGGUGGCGAGUGGCGGACGGGUGAGGAAUACAUCGGAAUCUACUUUUUCGUGGGGGAUAACGUAGGGAAACUUACGCUAAUACCGCAUACGACCUACGGGUGAAAGCAGGGGAUCUUCGGACCUUGCGCGAUUGAAUGAGCCGAUGUCGGAUUAGCUAGUUGGCGGGGUAAAGGCCCACCAAGGCGACGAUCCGUAGCUGGUCUGAGGGGAUGAUCAGCCACACUGGAACUGAGACACGGUCCAGACUCCUACGGGAGGCAGCAGUGUGGAAUAUUGGGCAAUGGGCGCGAGCCUGAUCCAGCCAUACCGCGUGGGUGAAGAAGGCCUUCGGGUUGUAAAGCCCUUUUGUUGGGAAAGAAAAGCAGCAGGUUAAUACCCCGCUGUUCUGACGGUACCCAAAGAAUAAGCACCGGCUAACUUCGUG